CAGUAGCCGCGGUAAUACAGAGGGUGCGAGCGUUAAUCGGAUUUACUGGGCGUAAAGCGUGCGUAGGCGGCUUCUUAAGUCGGAUGUGAAAUCCCUGAGCUUAACUUAGGAAUUGCAUUCGAUACUGGGAAGCUAGAGUAUGGGAGAGGAUGGUAGAAUUCCAGGUGUAGCGGUGAAAUGCGUAGAGAUCUGGAGGAAUACCGAUGGCGAAGGCAGCCAUCUGGCCUAAUACUGACGCUGAGGUACGAAAGCAUGGGGAGCAAACAGGAUUAGAGACCCGAGUAGUCCCUGUCUCUUAACA
This 301-nucleotide ribosomal RNA is filed under the name uncultured bacterium. Its description in RNAcentral is "partial 16S ribosomal RNA". It matches the Rfam family "Bacterial small subunit ribosomal RNA", at positions 509 to 808 of the family's 1533-position model. The record is from RNAcentral.